This is a long non-coding RNA of Symphalangus syndactylus (siamang), 168 nucleotides long. RefSeq lists it as uncharacterized. Lineage: Eukaryota; Metazoa; Chordata; Mammalia; Primates; Hylobatidae. The record is from RefSeq and is a predicted model, not a curated record.
AUCUCAUAUAAUCCUUUCAACAACUGUGAAACACCAACACUGAGGCUCAGAGAGGCUAAGUCAUUUAUGCCAGGUGGAAUUGAGAGCUGAACCUGGACCUUCCAAUGUCUCCUGCCUUCCGAGCUCUGGAGACUGGGAAGUCCAAUGGCAUACCACCAGCACCUUGAC